AUGAAAUUAUUUUGUACUUUUUCUGUAGGUGAUUCGGUAACCCAAACACAAGCAAGGCAAGCAGUAACGUCCGAUGACCCUGCAUAUGUGUACUGUUUUGCCCUAGAUGUGAACAAGAAGUACCAUUUGCAGUGCAAUUUUUGUGACAAGCUAUUGAAAGGUGGAAUUACUAGAAUGAAGUACCAUCUUGCUUGCAUUACUGGCUUCAAUGUUGUUAAAUGUAAGAAGGUUCCAGCUGAUGUGAAGGAAGAGAUUAUUGCUUUUCUUACGAAGAAGAGUGGUGACAAGCAAAAGAAGAAGGAUGAAGUGCAAAGGGUUCGAUCUGCAAUUAAUAUAGAGAACUCAGAUGAUGAAAGGGGUAGUGGGGACGAUUCUGACUUUGAGAGGAAUGAUGUUGUGUUGCUGAAGUCAACAAGAGGUAGUGGGACGAGUAACUCUAGAGCUGUGGUAGGUAGUGGCAGUGCCACUAUUGAUAAGUUUUACAAGAAAACAUCUAUAGAAGAGUCUGUUCGCAAUAAUCAAAGGGGAUUCAACGUUAGCCAGAAGGUCCAAUCAAAGGUUUCAACUAUGAAAAGAGAAGAGAAAAGGGACAGAUUUUGUGAGUAUAUUUGCCAGUUUUUCUAUGAAGCUAGCAUUCCUCACAACACUGUCACCCUCCCUAGCUUUGCUCAUAUGCUUGAGUCUAUCGGACAGUUUGGCAAGGACUUGAGAGGGCCUAGUCCAUAUGAGAUGAGGGGACAAUUUUUGCAGAAGAGGAAACAUAAGGUGCUGGAUGGAUUCAAGUAUCAUAAGGAAUCAUGGGAGCUCACAGGUUGCACGGUUAUGACUGAUGCAUGGACAGAUAGGAAGGGCAUGGGAGUAAUGAAUUUAGUUGUGCACAGUGCUCAUGGUGUUUGCUUCAUUGAUUCGGUGGACUGCUCCAGUGACAGAAAAGAUGGCAAAUACAUAUUUGACUUGGUGGACAAAUGCAUAGAAGAUAUAGGUGAAGAAAAUGUUGUGCAAGUGGUGACUGAUAAUGCUAGUGUGAAUGUAUCAGCAGCUAGUAUGCUAACAGCAAAGAGACCAUCCAUAUUUUGGAAUGGAUGUGCUAUUGAUCACUGCCUAGAUCUCAUGUUGGAGGAUCAUGGGAAGCUUGGACCAGUUGCAAAAACUAUUUCAAGUGCAAGAGAAGUGACUAGCUUCUUGUAUGCUCAUACAAGGGUAUUGGAUUUGAUGAGGAAAUUUCUUGGGAAGGGCUUGGUUCGCUCUGGUGUUACUCGGUUUGCCACUGCUUACUUAAAUCUGAAAAGUUUGCUAGACAACAAGAAGGAGUUGACAAGGCUCUUCACAUUAGAUGAGAUGAAUGAACUAGGUAUACUUGACAAAGGCAAAGGGGGGAAAACACUCAAAGUGGUGCGAUAUGAAGUUUUUUGGAAACAUGUUGACAUGGCUGUUAAUUUCUUUGAGCUAAUGGCUAAUGUGCUUCGCAGAAUGGACAGUGAUGUUCCUACAAUGGGAUUCUUCCAUGGAUUAAUGCUUGAGGCAAAGAAACAUAUUGCUGUGAAGUUUGAUAAUGAUGAGAGCAAGUACAAAGUUGCUUGGGACAUCAUUGAUAAAAGGUGGGACAGCAAGCUCAAGACUCCUCUCCAUUUGGCUGGCUACUAUUUGAAUCCUCACUAUUAUUACCCAAACAAGUCAGAGAUUGAGCAUGAUGGAUCAUUUAGAGCUGCUGUUAUUACAUGCAUCUGCAAGAUGAUUGAGGACGAAGAAACCCAAGACAUUGUAAUUGAAGAACUCAACAUGUAUCAAGAUCAGCAAGGAUCUUUCGGCCAUGAGAUUGCUAUAAGGCAAAGGAGAAACAAGAAUUUUAAUCCAGCAAAAUGGUGGCUGAACCAUGGCACCAGCACACCAAAGUUGAGAACUUUGGCAUCUAGGAUUCUUAAUAUGACAUGUAGCUCAUCAGCUUGUGAGAGGAACUGGUCAACUUUCCAAGAGGUUCAUACAAAGAAGCGCAAUAGGCUACUGCAUGACAGGAUGAGGGAUCUUGUGUUUGUGAAAUUCAACUCUAAACUAAGGAACAAGAGAGAGAACAAAAAUAGAGAUCCCAUAGAGAAAGAAGUAGAUGAUAUUCUUGCUGAUUAUGACAAUGAGUUCAUCACUGGGAAAGAACCAACUGCAGAAGCUGAGGAAGAACAAGAGAAAGCUCAUGAAGAUGCAUCGGAAGAGGCACCAAACAGGGGACAAGCCAAAAGGAAGAGGAGUUCUCGGCCUAGGAAGAAAAUCAAGACUGUGAGCCUGCAGUCCUUGAUGGCUAUGCGUGUUGAAACAAUGCCGCAAGCUUCUUCUUCUUCUUCUGAAUCGGAGUCUGAUAAGUCUCCUUCAAAUUUUGGAGAAGAAUAG
This 2379-nucleotide ribosomal RNA is filed under the name Triticum aestivum (bread wheat). RNAcentral's name for it is "partial small subunit ribosomal RNA". The record is from RNAcentral. Lineage: Eukaryota; Viridiplantae; Streptophyta; Magnoliopsida; Poales; Poaceae.